UUGGGAUAUCAGCUCGCCUGGACAGUACAGUUAAGCAUGUUUAUUCAUUUUAUUUACAAUAUAUGAAUAUUUGUCUGCACGCCCGUAGCCGCUGCUUCAACAUAUCAUUUUCCAAUUAUACACAAUCUACAAAAGAAAUAUCUUUGUUAACAAUCUUUUCAAGCAUGUAUAAUCUUAAAAAACAUCCACAUCAAUCAUAAGCAUG
RNAcentral lists this long non-coding RNA (205 nucleotides) under Mytilus galloprovincialis (Mediterranean mussel). Lineage: Eukaryota; Metazoa; Mollusca; Bivalvia; Mytilida; Mytilidae. The record is from RNAcentral.